Molecule: ribosomal RNA, 527 nt
Filed under: Gampsocleis sedakovii sedakovii
Lineage: Eukaryota; Metazoa; Arthropoda; Insecta; Orthoptera; Tettigoniidae
Description: partial 16S large subunit ribosomal RNA
Rfam family: Bacterial large subunit ribosomal RNA
Source: RNAcentral
UUAGGAAUUAUAGGCGCGACGAGUCUGCCACUGCAAUUUAGUUAAAGGGCCGCGGUAUUUUGACCGUGCAAAGGUAGCAUAAUCAUUAGUCUUUUAAUUGAAGGCUGGAAUGAAUGGUUUGACGAAACAUUAUCUGUCUCCCUAUAAUUAGUAGAAUUUAACUUUUGAGUCAAAAGGCUUAAAUGUGUGUAAAAGACGAGAAGACCCUAUAGAUCUUUAUAUGUGUUUGUGGCUGUUAUGUUUAGUGGUGGUAAUUAUAGUUAUGAUAACAUAUUUUGUUGGGGUGACAUGAAGAUAUAAUUAACUCUUUAUUUUUUUGAACAUUGAUUUAUGAAUUAUUGAUCCACUCUUAGUGAUUAUAAGAUAAAGUUACCUUAGGGAUAACAGCGUAAUUUUUUUUGAGAGUUCUUAUCGACAAAAAAGAUUGCGACCUCGAUGUUGGAUUAAGGAAUAUGAUUAGGUGUAGAAGUUUAAUUAAUAAGUCUGUUCGACUUUUAAAUCCUUACGUGAUCUGAGUUCCAAACCGG